Molecule: long non-coding RNA, 610 nt
Organism: Anthonomus grandis grandis
Lineage: Eukaryota; Metazoa; Arthropoda; Insecta; Coleoptera; Curculionidae
Exons: 3
Source: RefSeq, a predicted model, not a curated record
UCCAGCAGAACGUCAACUAAAUAUUUUAAUUGCGUUUGAAAUAUGUGGCCGCGCUACUGGCGUAAACGUUCGAAUCCUUGGAACUCGGUCCAAAAUAAUUCAAAAAUCAAAAACGAAACGGUGUUGUCUAAUUCCGGACCGACCUUGGAACGGCAAAGUGCAAUGGAACAUCUGCUAUUGCGGUGCAGAACUUCUACCUCCGGUGUUGUUGACAUGAUGACGAGCAACGGGGGAAAAAUACGUUUGUUUGGACAAGUGAAACAGGUACUAAUGAUCUUCCUCAAAGGCACCAAUUACUAAACUGGCUAAAAACUUUGUUAGCUGAUUAAUUGGGGAACUGAUAAAGCUUACGGAUCUCAAUGUGACACCUUCCUUAUGAAUUUUUGAUUCUUGAGAAUGACAUCAUAGAAAUCGAAACGUCGACCAAUAUAUAUAAAUAAAUCAUCUGAAGUAUUUUUUUUUAACCUAUAUCCAACAAAAAAAUUAAGUAUUUUUUCCUACUUCAUUUUAUAUAACAAAGAACAAUGUAAACAAAAAUUAUGUGAAAAUUUUUUUCUCAAAUAUCUUUUAUCAAAAUACAAUGAAUGAUAAAUUAAACUUAUAUGAUGAA